UGGGGAAUAUUGCACAAUGGGCGCAAGCCUGAUGCAGCCAUGCCGCGUGUGUGAAGAAGGCCUUCGGGUUGUAAAGCACUUUCAGCGAGGAGGAAGGUGGUGAGCUUAAUACGCUCAUCAAUUGACGUUACUCGCAGAAGAAGCACCGGCUAACUCCGUGCCAGCAGCCGCGGUAAUACGGAGGGUGCAAGCGUUAAUCGGAAUUACUGGGCGUAAAGCGCACGCAGGCGGUUUGUUAAGUCAGAUGUGAAAUCCCCGGGCUCAACCUGGGAACUGCAUUUGAAACUGGCAAGCUAGAGUCUCGUAGAGGGGGGUAGAAUUCCAGGUGUAGCGGUGAAAUGCGUAGAGAUCUGGAGGAAUACCGGUGGCGAAGGCGGCCCCCUGGACGAAGACUGACGCUCAGGUGCGAAAGCGUGGGGCAGCAAACAGGAUUAGAUACCCUGGUAGUCCACGCUGUAAACGAUGUCGAUUUGGAGGUUGUGCCCUUGAGGCGUGGCUUCCGGAGCUAACGCGUUAAAUCGACCGCCUGGGGAGUACGGCCGCAAGGUUAAAACUUAAAUGAAUUGAC
RNAcentral lists this ribosomal RNA (568 nucleotides) under uncultured bacterium. RNAcentral's name for it is "partial 16S ribosomal RNA". It matches the Rfam family "Bacterial small subunit ribosomal RNA", at positions 355 to 914 of the family's 1533-position model. The record is from RNAcentral.